AAAGAACUGCAGGGCAUUCUUCAAGCAAUCACUAUGUCAACUGAUACAGAUGUUUCCCUUUCUUCUUAUGAUGAAGAUCAGGGAUGCAAACUUAUUCGAAAAGCUAAAGAGGCACCAUUUGUCCCCACUGGAAUGGCAGGUUUUGCAGCAAUUGUUGCAUAUGGAUUAUACAAAUUGAAGAACAGGGGAAAUACCAAACUGUCUCUUCACCUGAUCCACAUGCAAGUGACAGCCCAAGGCUUUAUUGUAGGAGCAAUGACUGUUGGUAUGGGCUAUUCCAUGUAUCGAGAAUUCUGGGCAACACCUAAACCUUAGAAGAAGAGAUGCUAUUUUGGUCUUGUUGAAGGAGCUCGCUGUAAUUAGACAUAUCAUUAUUGGGGUUACAUGUUUAGGUUGAAAAU
This is an RNA transcript of Carlito syrichta (Philippine tarsier), 401 nucleotides long. It is a transcript of the gene named HIG1 domain family member 1A, mitochondrial pseudogene, with no coding region annotated. Lineage: Eukaryota; Metazoa; Chordata; Mammalia; Primates; Tarsiidae. The transcript is spliced from 2 exons. The record is from RefSeq and is a predicted model, not a curated record.